GCACAAGCAGCGGAGCGUGUGGUUUAAUUCGAUGUUACACGAAGAGCCUUACCAGGGUUUGACAUGCAAGUGGUAGGAAGCCGAAAGGUGACCGACCCUUCGGGGAGCUUGCACAGGUGCUGCAUGGCUGUCGUCAGCUCGUGUCGUGAGAUGUUCGGUUAAGUCCGCUAACGAGCGCAACCCUCGCUGUGUGUUAUAUGUGUCACACGGGACUGCCGGUCUUAAGCCGGAGGAAGGUGGGGAUGAUGUCAAGUCAGCAUGGCCUUUAUAUCCUGGGCUACACACACGCUACAAUGGCCAACACAAUAGGUUGCUAAGCCGCGAGGUGGCGCCAAUCCAUAAAGUUGGUCUCAGUUCAGAUUGUAGGCUGCAACCCGCCUGCAUGAAGAUGGAGUUGCUAGUAACCGCAGGUCAGCUAUACUGCGGUGAAUACGUUCCCGGGGCUU
Molecule: ribosomal RNA, 446 nt
Filed under: uncultured Leptolinea sp.
Lineage: Bacteria; Bacillati; Chloroflexota; Anaerolineae; Anaerolineales; Anaerolineaceae
Description: bacterial SSU rRNA
Rfam family: Bacterial small subunit ribosomal RNA
Source: RNAcentral